AAUUAAUGAAUUGAUUAUGAUUGAUUAAAUUUUAUAUGAAGUUCAAUAUUAAGUUUAGAGAUAUUGGCGGUGUUUUAUUAAAUUCUGAGAAUCUUGCAUAGUUAAAAUGAUAGUACACAAUUUAUCUUAUCUUAGUUUUGUUGGUUUAUAUAUUGCUGUUUUAUUUAUGGUUUGGUUUUGAUAAAAUAGGUAAAGGGAUUUUGUAGUAAGAAGUUCAAGUCAAAAUAUAGUUUUAUUAAGGUUUGUGUGAGUUGCUUUUGUUUAGAAAGUAGGAAUAAUAAAGUAAAAUGAAAUUUUAUAUAAAGAGGGAUUAGGUUGUAAAGGAAGAUUAGUAAGUUUUCUUGAUAAAUUAUAUAAACAUGU
This 363-nucleotide ribosomal RNA is filed under the name Nahual lanceolatus. RNAcentral's name for it is "partial small subunit ribosomal RNA". The record is from RNAcentral. Lineage: Eukaryota; Metazoa; Arthropoda; Arachnida; Schizomida; Hubbardiidae.